RNAcentral lists this ribosomal RNA (498 nucleotides) under uncultured bacterium. Its description in RNAcentral is "bacterial SSU rRNA". It matches the Rfam family "Bacterial small subunit ribosomal RNA", at positions 49 to 518 of the family's 1533-position model. The record is from RNAcentral.
UAAUACAUGCAAGGUCGAACGGCUUUCUAUGGAAGCUUGCUUCCACUGAGAAGAUAGUGGCGAACGGGUGAGUAACACGUGGGUAACCUGCCCAUAAGAGGGGGGAUAACAUCCGGAAACGGGUGCUAAUACCGCAUAGUUUUUCUUGAUCGCAUGAUUGAGAAAGGAAAGACGGCCUUUGUGCUGUCGCUUAUGGAUGGACCCGCGGCGUAUUAGUUAGUUGGUGAGGUAAUGGCUCACCAGGACGAUGAUACGUAGCCGACCUGAGAGGGUGAUCGGCCACAUUGGGACUGAGACACGGCCCAAACUCCUACGGGAGGCAGCAGUAGGGAAUCUUCCGCAAUGGACGAAAGUCUGACGGAGCAACGCCGCGUGAGUGAAGAAAGGUUUUCGGAUCGUAAAACUCUGUUGUCAGAGAAGAACAAGUUGGAGAGUAACUGCUCCAGCCUUGACGGUAUCUGACCAGAAAGCCACGGCUAACUACGUGCCAGCCGCAGC